This 1218-nucleotide ribosomal RNA is filed under the name Sarcocheilichthys variegatus variegatus. RNAcentral describes it as "partial 16S ribosomal RNA". It matches the Rfam family "Bacterial large subunit ribosomal RNA", at positions 700 to 2561 of the family's 2925-position model. Lineage: Eukaryota; Metazoa; Chordata; Actinopteri; Cypriniformes; Gobionidae. The record is from RNAcentral. RNAcentral also lists the same sequence under 1 other name.
CUUUAGUUUGAAACCCCGAAACCAGGUGAGCUACCCCGAGACAGCCUAUUUACUUAGGGCUAACCCGUCUCUGUGGCAAAAGAGUGGGAAGAGCUCCGGGUAGAAGUGACAGACCUACCGAACCUGGUGAUAGCUGGUUGUCUGAGAGAUGGAUAGAAGUUCAGCCCUAUUACGCCCCCGACCAAAACACACCGCUCAAGGUGCAAGGGAAAUAUUUAGGAGUUAGUUAGAGGGGGUACAGCCCCUCUAACAAAGGAUACAACCUUAUAAAGGAGAAUAAAGAUCAUAAUCUACAAGACAUACUGUUCUAGUGGGCCUAAAAGCAGCCACCUAAACAGAAAGCGUUAAAGCUCAGACAGAAAGAAGUUUAUUAUAAUGAUAACAAAUCUUAUUUCCCUAAUAAUAUCAGACCACCCCAUGCCCGCAUGGAAGAAAUUAUGCUAAAAUGAGUAACAAGAAGACUUGCUCUUCUCCAAGCACAAGUGUAAGCCAGAUCGGACAAGCCGCUGGAAAUUAACGAACUCAACCAAAAGAGAGUACUGCGGAUAAUAAAAAAACCAAGAAAACCCCGCAACCAGGCAUCGUUAACCCCACACUGGAAUGCUAUAAUAAAGGAAAGACUAAAAGAAAGGGAAGGAACUCGGCAAACACAAGCCUCGCCUGUUUACCAAAAACAUCGCCUCCUGCAACUAAACCAAGUAUAGGAGGUCCAGCCUGCCCAGUGACUAAGGGUUCAACGGCCGCGGUAUUUUGACCGUGCAAAGGUAGCGCAAUCACUUGUCUUUUAAAUAGAGACCUGUAUGAAUGGCUAAACGAGGGCUUAACUGUCUCCCCCUUCGGGUCAGUGAAAUUGAUCUAUCCGUGCAGAAGCGGAUAUAAUUAUACAAGACGAGAAGACCCUUUGGAGCUUAAGGUACAAAACUUAACCACGUCAAACAACUUAAUCAAAAAGCAAGAACUUAGUGGGCCAUAAGACUUUACCUUCGGUUGGGGCGACCGCGGAGGAAAACCCAGCCUCCGAGUGGAAUGGGCCAAACCCCCUAAAACUAAGAGAAACAUCUCUAAGCCGCAGAACAUCUGACCAAAAAUGAUCCGGCUAAAGUCGAUCAACGAACCAAGUUACCCUAGGGAUAACAGCGCAAUCCUCUCCCAGAGUCCAUAUCGACGAGGGGGUUUACGACCUCGAUGUUGGAUCAGGACAUCCUAAUGGUGCAGCCG